Bos taurus (domestic cattle) is the source of this 1600-nucleotide long non-coding RNA. Lineage: Eukaryota; Metazoa; Chordata; Mammalia; Artiodactyla; Bovidae. The record is from Ensembl.
AAAAUCAGGGAAGUGGUCGGCGGAGGGCCAGGUCAAGGCAGAAGAGGGUGAUGCAGGUCUGAUCCGGUGGGAGUGCUGACGGUGUCCUUGUAGGAAGAGGUGGUCAGGGCUCAGACACAUUCAGAGGGCGACCCUGGAGGACACGGGGAGGGGACGGCCACCCGCACACCCAGGAGAGGGGCCUCAGGAGGCAAGCCCCGCCCGCACCUGGAUCUGGGAUUCUGGCUUCCAGGCCUGGAGACGAGCAGCUCUCUCCCCUGACCAUAGCACAGACUCGACCUCAGUCCACCGCCGAGCGCUGACCGGCCACCACGUGCCUGCCGACCACCUCCCCUCACUUGCUGUGCUCUGUCUUCGCUCUGCCGUCUUCCUUUCUGACCCCCAGACGGUCCUGGGUCUCUGUGCACCCAUGGCCCCUGGGCUCAGCCAUCCGCCCCUGAGCCCUGGUCACUUCCUGGAGGCUGGUGUAGGGACUGAGGCCCUGGUGUCUGGGCACCCUCGCAAGGGCAGGAUGGAGCAAGCUGCAGGCCCAAACCCGUACACACCCCGCACCACCAGGGAGCACCCAGCCAGUCUCCGCCAGCCUCACCCGGACCCCCGGCCCAGCCGAGCCAGGUCCCCCGGGACUUGCCGUGGCCGCGUCCCUCCCUGACCUCCAGCAUCACCCCCGGGUGGGCACGUCCUCUGCAUGUCUUGCUGCCCUCCUCCUGCCCUCGGGGCUCCUUCUGGGCAGCGUCUAGCUUGGGCGUUCUAGGAGUCGCUGCCUCUCCCCAUCCGUUGCCAGGGACCUUGCCCAGAGCUGAGGACGCUGAGACCCCGUCUUCAGCCCGGGCCCCUGUGCCCAGCUGUCUGUCUGGAAGCAGCCACGUCCUCCCCCCCGCAGAGCCAGCCCCACAGCCGCUCUGGGCACAGGCCUGGGUGCCCCGUCUCCCUGGUCCGCCACGUCCUGGGGGCUCUGCCUCUCGAAUCUCUCUGCACCCAAAGCCGCUCUCCCCCCGCCCCCAGGGAGUGACAGCGGCUCCCAUCCUGCCUCGACUGUUCUCCACGCUGCAGAGAACUUUCUAGAAGGCAGAGCCCUCAAUACUUGCCCGCUGCUGGACUAUGUGCUUCCUGGAUUGGGCCCAUGUCCACACGGCUAGUGAGGUCACCCAGGGGUGCCACCCUCAGGGGGUCGCAAGGGGUGUGGGGCCAGCCAAGCUGCGUUGGGUGGGUGUCUGCCGGUUUGGCUCAGUUCCCGUGGCCCUCUGUACCCAUAAGUCUGGGGGCUUCCCAGGUGGCUCAGACCGUUAAGAGUUCGCCUCCAAUGCAGAUGUGGCUUCGAUCCCUGGGUUGAGAAGACCCCCUGGAGGAGGGCAUGGCUACCCACUCCAGUAUUCUUCCCUGGAGAAUUCCGUGAACAGAGGAGCCUGGCGGGCUACACGCCAGCGGGUCCCGCAGAGUUGGACCCAAGUGAGCGCACACACCCGUAAAUCUACUGCCCUGCCCCAAGCGCCACGUCACGCCCACUGCCCCCAGCCCAGGGAGUCACCCUCUGGAACCUCGUGUUUGGCAUUUGCUUGCAAGAAGAUCAUUCCCCAAACCCACCGGAGUAGGUCCCACC